RNAcentral lists this ribosomal RNA (617 nucleotides) under uncultured Inocybe. Its description in RNAcentral is "eukaryotic LSU rRNA". The stretch from base 220 to 373 matches the Rfam family "5.8S ribosomal RNA". Lineage: Eukaryota; Fungi; Basidiomycota; Agaricomycetes; Agaricales; Cortinariaceae. The record is from RNAcentral.
UCCGUAGGUGAACCUGCGGAAGGAUCAUUAUUGAAUGAAACUUCUGGCUGGAUGCUGUUGUGCUGGUCCUUUGGGGCAAUGUGCACGCCUCUGGCUGUUUGUUUCUUCUGUUCCACCUGUGCACUGUCUGUAGACACACUGUGUCUAUGAUAUAUGGUUACACACACGCAUGAUGUUUUGCAUAUUGGUUGGCAUAUUACAUAUGUAUAUGAUACAUACAACUUUCAGCAACGGAUCUCUUGGCUCUCGCAUCGAUGAAGAACGCAGCGAAAUGCGAUAAGUAAUGUGAAUUGCAGAAUUCAGUGAAUCAUCGAAUCUUUGAACGCAUCUUGCGCUCCUUGGUAUUCCGAGGAGCAUGCCUGUUUGAGUGUCAUUUAAAACUUCUCAACUGCUCCAAAUUUAUUUUGGAUGUGGCUUGGAAAUGGGGGAGUGGUUUUUGCAGGCUUAUGAAAGUCUGCUCUCCUGAAACAUAUUAGUGGUGUCUGGGCAGACUACCACAGGUGUGAUAACUAUCAAUGCCUUGGUAUAUUUGCUGCCGCUUCCAACCUAAAUGAUCAACUUGACCUCAAAUCAGGUAGGAUUACCCGCUGAACUUAAGCAUAUCAAUAAGCGGAGGA